UUUUAUGGAGAGUUUGAUCCUGGCUCAGGAUGAACGCUGGCGGCGUGCCUAAUACAUGCAAGUCGAGCGAACGGACGAGAAGCUUGCUUCUCUGAUGUUAGCGGCGGACGGGUGAGUAACACGUGGAUAACCUACCUAUAAGACUGGGAUAACUUCGGGAAACCGGAGCUAAUACCGGAUAAUAUUUUGAACCGCAUGGUUCAAAAGUGAAAGACGGUCUUGCUGUCACUUAUAGAUGGAUCCGCGCUGCAUUAGCUAGUUGGUAAGGUAACGGCUUACCAAGGCAA
Molecule: ribosomal RNA, 287 nt
Filed under: Staphylococcus aureus
Lineage: Bacteria; Bacillati; Bacillota; Bacilli; Caryophanales; Staphylococcaceae
Description: partial 16S ribosomal RNA
Rfam family: Bacterial small subunit ribosomal RNA
Source: RNAcentral